This 382-nucleotide ribosomal RNA is filed under the name uncultured soil bacterium. Its description in RNAcentral is "bacterial SSU rRNA". It matches the Rfam family "Bacterial small subunit ribosomal RNA", at positions 26 to 412 of the family's 1533-position model. The record is from RNAcentral.
AGAUUGAACGCUGGCGGCAUGCCUUACACAUGCAAGUCGAACGGAUUUUGGGGCUUGCUCCAAAGUUAGUGGCGAACGGGUGAGUAAUGCAUCGGAACGUGCCCAAUCGUGGGGGAUAACGUAGCGAAAGUUACGCUAAUACCGCAUACGUCCUGAGGGAGAAAGCAGGGGACUCGCAAAGAGCCUUGCGCGAAUGGAGCGGCCGAUGCCGGAUUAGCUAGUUGGUGAGGUAAAGGCUCACCAAGGCGACGAUCCGUAGCUGGUCUGAGAGGACGACCAGCCACACUGGGACUGAGACACGGCCCAGACUCCUACGGGAGCAGCAGUGGGGAAUUUGGACAAUGGGGGAAACCUGAUCCAGCCAUGCCGCGUGAGUGAAGAA